AGGAUUUAGCAAACAGUUUUUUAUUAUUAUUAUUAUUAUUAUUAUUAUUAUUAUUAUAUGUCUAUUAGAUGUCUAAUCCCCAUUAAUGCUCCACACCCACCCAACAGUUGGUGGCGGUAAUGCACCAUGUUGGAUGCCAACCGCCAAUAAAAUUAAAAAAGAAGACGACGGUUGGAAAGGUUAAGAAAUCAAAAGAGGGGGACUAUGAGUACAUAUGCGUCAUGGUUGACUAUUUUACGAAAUGGUCAGAAGCAUUCCCUCUGAAAUCCAAAAGUGCAGAGGAAGUAACCAUGUGCAUUGUUAAACUCUUUUAUCGAUUUGGAGCACCAAAAAUAAUCUUGACAGACAACAGAAGAGAGUUUGUAGGCUAAACCAGGUUAGUGCCAGUAUGAAAUAUCAGUGAUAGAUGUAAUUAUUGUUAACACUUCUAAUUAAUUCUGUUGACUCCACAUAUUUAGAUCAAUGAGGGCUUAUGUAAAUACCUGGGCAUAAAGCGCAGCCUUUGUGCACCCUACCAUCCCCAGACCAAUGGUUUGGUGGGAAAACUCAAUGACCCCAUCCAGAGAUGCCUCAGCACACUUGUCAAAAAUAGUCCGGAGACCUGGGCAGAUUAUCUUGAAUCAACAAUGUUUGCACUGAGGACCAAGAAGCAGUUAACUACCUGCUUCUCACCUUAUUAUUUAAUGUUUGGGAGAGAAGCUAGGUAUCCCAGUGGAAUAGCACACAGUUAUGAGGUUGAUGACUCCAUUGAGGACCUGGUGGCUGA
Molecule: long non-coding RNA, 766 nt
Organism: Alosa sapidissima (American shad)
Lineage: Eukaryota; Metazoa; Chordata; Actinopteri; Clupeiformes; Clupeidae
Exons: 3
Source: RefSeq, a predicted model, not a curated record